RNAcentral lists this ribosomal RNA (250 nucleotides) under uncultured bacterium. Its description in RNAcentral is "partial 16S ribosomal RNA". It matches the Rfam family "Bacterial small subunit ribosomal RNA", at positions 524 to 772 of the family's 1533-position model. The record is from RNAcentral.
GACGGAGGGUGCUAGCGUUGUUCGGAAUCACUGGGCGUAAAGGGCGCGUAGGCGGCCAGGCAAGUCGGCUUGUGAAAGCCCGGGGCUCAACCCCGGAGGUGCGGCCGGGACUGCUUGGCUGGAGGCCGGAAGAGGAGGGUGGAAUACCCAGUGUAGAGGUGAAAUUCGUAGAUAUUGGGUGGAACACCGGUGGCGAAAGCGGCUCUCUGGUCCGGUCCUGACGCUGAGGCGCGAAAGCGUGGGGAGCAAA